RNAcentral lists this ribosomal RNA (254 nucleotides) under uncultured bacterium. Its description in RNAcentral is "partial 16S ribosomal RNA". It matches the Rfam family "Bacterial small subunit ribosomal RNA", at positions 524 to 776 of the family's 1533-position model. The record is from RNAcentral.
UACGUAGGGAGCAAGCGUUGUUCGGAUUUACUGGGCGUAAAGGGCGCGUAGGCGGCAAAUUAAGUUAGCUGUGAAAUCUCCGAGCUUAACUCGGAACGGUCAGCUGAUACUGAUCUGCUAGAGUGCGGAAGGGGCAAUCGGAAUUCUUGGUGUAGCGGUGAAGUGCGUAGAUAUCAAGAGGAACACCUGAGGUGAAGACGGGUUGCUGGGCCGACACUGACGCUGAGUGCGCGAAAGCCAGGGGAGCAAACGGG